GACGAACGCUGGCGGCGUGCCUAAUACAUGCAAGUCGAGCGGACCAAAGGGAGCUUGCUCCUGGAGGUUAGCGGCGAACGGGUGAGUAACACGUGGGCAACCUGCCUGUAAGACUGGGAUAACAUCGAGAAAUCGGUGCUAAUACCGGAUAAUAAAAAGAACUGCAUGGUUCUUUUUUGAAAGAUGGUUUCGGCUAUCACUUACAGAUGGGCCCGCGGCGCAUUAGCUAGUUGGUGAGGUAACGGCUCACCAAGGCAACGAUGCGUAGCCGACCUGAGAGGGUGAUCGGCCACACUGGGACUGAGACACGGCCCAGACUCCUACGGGAGGCAGCAGUAGGGAAUCUUCCGCAAUGGACGAGAGUCUGACGGAGCAACGCCGCGUGAGUGAUGAAGGUUUUCGGAUCGUAAAACUCUGUUGUUAGGGAAGAACAAGUGCCGUUCGAAAGGGCGGCACCUUGACGGUACCUAACGAGAAAGCCACGGCUAACUACGUGCCAGCAGCCGCGGUAAAG
Molecule: ribosomal RNA, 514 nt
Filed under: uncultured bacterium
Lineage: Bacteria
Description: bacterial SSU rRNA
Rfam family: Bacterial small subunit ribosomal RNA
Source: RNAcentral